GAUGAACGCUGGCGGCGUGCCUAAUACAUGCAAGUCGAGCGAACAGACGAGGAGCUUGCUCCUCUGACGUUAGCGGCGGACGGGUGAGUAACACGUGGAUAACCUACCUAUAAGACUGGGAUAACUUCGGGAAACCGGAGCUAAUACCGGAUAAUAUAUUGAACCGCAUGGUUCAAUAGUGAAAGACGGCUUUGCUGUCACUUAUAGAUGGAUCCGCGCCGCAUUAGCUAGUUGGUAAGGUAACGGCUUACCAAGGCAACGAUGCGUAGCCGACCUGAGAGGGUGAUCGGCCACACUGGAAGUGGGACACGGACCAGACUCCUACGGGAGGCAGCAGUAGGGAAUCUUACGCAAUGGGCGAAAGCCUGACGGAGCAACGCCGCGUGAGUGAUGAAGGUCUUCGGAUCGUAAAACUCUGUUAUUAGGGAAGAACAAAUGUGUAAGUAACUAUGCACGUCUUGACGGUAACUAAUCAGAAAGCCACGGCUAACUACGUG
Molecule: ribosomal RNA, 497 nt
Filed under: uncultured bacterium
Lineage: Bacteria
Description: partial 16S ribosomal RNA
Rfam family: Bacterial small subunit ribosomal RNA
Source: RNAcentral